UGCCAGGUCCUGUCUGAGGUGGUGCUGGUGUUUGGGUUGCUAAUUUCUGGCCGCUGCUUCUGCAGGUAUCGGCUGGAUCCAUGUGUUCUGGUAGUGUACUCCGACACUGAGCUCUACAGACACAAAAAGAAGAAGAAGAAAAAGAGGAGGCACUCAGGGAAAUCAGAAGACUCUGUAAAAGAACCAAGACUGUACUUACUGAAGGCCUUGAGAUGUGAGACUGUCCACCAUUUCCGGAGACCCGAGGGCAGCUUCCUGCUCUCCAGUGGCCUGGCUGUGGAGGGCGUUGGACCUUUCCAAAAGAAAACCAAGCAUUUAAGGAUGGAGAGCAGGGCCGACAGGUGCCACCUGUUAGAGUAUGGCCAGGGUGAUUAAAACCUUGGCCUCCAAACAAAAAAUGCACUAGUGAAGAUUCAGCGUGUUCCAGAGAAGCCAUGCCAGUUGCACUUAACUUUGAAACAGAAAUUUGUUCAAAUCUACGUGGUGCUUCCUUGCUAAAUACUGUACAGAUUUCACCAUAGCUUUUUUCUUUUGAGUUUUUACCUUUCCUUAAUUACCCUUAUUCCAAAAGAAUGAACACUUGCUACAACUGCUGACCACUGUAAACUAUGUAUAUAAAUCACAUUAAAAAUAAUGCCCUGGAAUAGAACAGUUCAAAUGCUGCUUAACUAUAGACUCAGGUCGAUGACUUGUAUUUUAUGUACUGUUCCUCCAAGUUAGACAUCUGGUGCAAGACCAACCGGGAAACCACGGAAUUAUUAAAAGUAUAAAUUGACAGUGCAUGUAUUUAAAGACAUUUAAAAAUGGACAAGCUGUCAAUUAGACUUUAAGGGCACUCUGUUUCCUGUAAGGUCUUAUCCUAGAAAUUAAUUUGUUUCAUAUUUUAGUUGUGUUCAAAAUUUAAAUAAUGUAUUUUAAGAGAAGUUCUGUUUUUUAACUUGGUGGAACUAUUCCAAUCAACUUACCAUUUAUGAUAAGUGUUCACAUUAGGAAUGUACAAUCCAAACACUUGUAAAUUUUACAGUAUAUUUUUAUUACAUAAAGUUUUUUUAGACUGUGUCUCGGUCACCUGUAGGAUAUUGGAGUCUGAGUUACCAGCCUGGGUCCCUUAAGGUUCCUAGUUACAGACAAAAUCACUCUGUAAUUUUAUUUUGAAUAUGGAUAUGCUAUCAAGCUGUGUGUGAUACACUUAUAAUUCACUGGUCCUGCCUCAGGAGACGGAGUGGGAAAACUGUAUUGAAUAGUUUCCAUCUGAAUAAUCUGUAUGGUUUAGACAGUUUAUGUUGUUCAGAGAUGUCUAAAGUUAGAUCUUUUGUUUUUUAAGAUUAAAAAAACACUUGCCCCACUGUAAAUAUUCAACAUGUACUAUGUAUAUGUGUAUAAAUGGCAGCAAAAAGUAAAUAAAUGGCAGCAAAUUAAACAC
Chinchilla lanigera (long-tailed chinchilla) is the source of this 1423-nucleotide long non-coding RNA. Ensembl lists it as uncharacterized. The record is from Ensembl. NCBI's taxonomy places the organism in Eukaryota, Metazoa, Chordata, Mammalia, Rodentia, Chinchillidae.